CAAUAAUACGAUAUUACAGUGUUAUAACGUGCAUUAAUGGAUUAUUAUGAUUUAUAUAUUUAUAUAGUGGGUUUUAGUGAAUACACGUAAAUACAAAUAAAAAUAAUUCUUCACACAAGUUCAACACAAAAGGUUCCUGGAAAAGGUUUAAUAAAGUAAAGUGAAUGUAAUCAGUAUGUUUGGUGUAAUGUCAGAUCUUUGUGUGGAUUAGAUCAGAAGUGAUAAAGACUCAAACGUGUUCAGCGGUGUUCCUGUAUUAUUAUUAUUAUUAUUAUUAUUAUUAUUAUUAUUAUUACUGCACGUUGAUACAGUUUCUUCACACACUUCCAGCCUGUUCCUCUGUUUAACACACACACACAUACACACACAUACACAAACAAACACAAACAUACACAUACACAAACAUAUAUAUACACAUACACACACACUCACACAUACACAAACACACACACACACAUAUACACACACACAUACACAAACAUAUAUAUACACAUACACUCACCCACAUACACAAACAUACACACACACACACACACACACACACAUAUACACACACACAUACACAAAGAUAUAUACACACACAUACACAAACACGCGCACACACACAAGGUUCACGGUAAAGGUUUAGACCCUACACAAAUAAUAAUAAUAAUAAUAAUAAUAAUAAUAAUAAUAAUAAUAAUAAUAAAACUCCAACAUAAAGUUUUAGUGAAACUCCGGCGGGAAGUUUCUUUCUUUCUUUCUUUCUUUCUUUCUUUCUUCACCUUUUCUUUCUUUUUUCUUUUUUGUCUUUUUGCUCUCAUGACAAAUAAAAAAUGGCGGUCAGUGCACUGUCUUUCCGAAGUUUGUUCUCUCGGUCAAAACUGGAGUCAAAAACAAACAAAAAAAGAACAAACAAAAAUAAUAAUUUAAUUUAAAAAAAACAACAAAAAAACAAAAACAAAACAAAAAAAACGACUAAACACAAACCGCUCGCGCUGUUCCGCGGGUAAAUAAUACUGAUUAUUCUCCGCGCGCAUGAAUGGAGAAGGGGGAAAGAGAGACGGGGGGAAAAUACCGACACACGCACGCACGCACGCACACACACACACACACACACACGCACGCGUGAGUGUGUACAGAAGGAGAAAAUGCGGUGAAUGCGCGCGGAGUGAAGGAGUAAAGGGAAGAAUGAAGAUGGGAUGAAGGGAGGCAGAAGUGGAGGAGUGAAGGGAUGAAGGAGUGGAGGAGUGAAGGGGUGAAGGAGUGAAGGAGUGGAGGAGUGAAGGAGUGGAGGAGUGAAGGAGUGAAGUAGUGGAGGAGUGAAGUAGUGGAGGAGUGAAGUAGUGGAGGAGUGAAGCGGCUCGAACGCGCGUCGGCUCGCAGUCACUUACUUUUCUGUGUCCUGUGACAUGAUGAUGUCUUUUGGACUCCUCGCCGAUAAUUCCUGGAGAAACUGGACUUUCAGCCCUGAUUCCAUUGGUCGAGGUGUGUAAGGAGGUCGGGCUGUGAUUGGCUGAGCCAGCACAGGUCCUGAAGGCCAGGAAGUGAAAUCACAGAGAAAUGAUACCAACUGAACGAAAUAAAAUCAACUCCAUGACAGUUUUUAAGAAUCGGAGCGGAUUCUUCUCCACACAUUUAUACCUGACCUUAGUGCUUCACUCUUUAACUCCCUCUGAGCCUUUGACAGCUGAGACACCCGGCAGUGGAGAGGUGGAGAGGUGCUGCAUGCCUGAGAUUUCUGAGUGGUAAGAAAGGGAAACCUGUUAGGACCUGCCUGGCCUGAUCCUGUGUACCUGUUGGACAG
Ictalurus punctatus (channel catfish) is the source of this 1786-nucleotide long non-coding RNA. Lineage: Eukaryota; Metazoa; Chordata; Actinopteri; Siluriformes; Ictaluridae. The record is from Ensembl.